UCGGACGUGGUGGACGGUGCACAUCAGCUUCAUGUGGAAGAUCCUAGACCCGUCUGAGCCCGUGAUGCUGAGGGACUGGGUUCGAUUCCCGGCGUCUGAA
Molecule: non-coding RNA, 100 nt
Organism: Mycena polygramma
Lineage: Eukaryota; Fungi; Basidiomycota; Agaricomycetes; Agaricales; Mycenaceae
Source: the annotation of a GenBank genome assembly